Molecule: long non-coding RNA, 1414 nt
Filed under: Canis lupus familiaris (dog)
Lineage: Eukaryota; Metazoa; Chordata; Mammalia; Carnivora; Canidae
Description: lncRNA (ENSCAFG00030006488.1)
Source: RNAcentral
ACAACGUGGGUAUGCGAGAGGAUUCAUUCGGCCAGUAGGCGCGGAGGACAGGCACCAGCUGCCCUCGCUGGAGGGUCCCGCGAGGGAGCAGUUAGGAAAGGACAAGAAGAGUGGUGGGCCCGGCCCCCUGCCCGCUCGCCAGCUCGGGACGUCGGCGGCCCGGGCCUGCCCGGCGCUCGCUUCCUCCUCCCGGGAGCCCUCCGAGCAUCUGCCGUGACCGCGCAGCGCGCCCAGGUGAGGAGCGCAGGCGAGGCCGCCCCCUCGGGAGCCGGGAGCCGGGAGCCCGGAGCCUGCGCUGGGGGAGGCUGUGGGCCGCUGGGGUGGUUACAGACGCGCCGCGCUGGGGGCAGGGCCAGGUGCCCGCGCGGACACGGGCUGCGGACACGGGCUGCUCGGUCCCAGGAAGCAGUGACGGGGCGGGGGGAGCGGGGACCCGGGGCGGGGGGCGGGCCCGGAGGUGUCGGGAAGCCCGGGAGGCCCCUGGGGGGGGACGGGGUGGCCACGGCUGGGGCCCGGGGGCGCGGCCGCCCUGCGCUUCGGGGCACCUGCUGGCGGUGCCGCCGCGGGUCCCGCGAGUGUCCACCGCCCGCGGGCCGCACUGAGGUCCCUGGGGUGUUGGCCUGGAUUGUAGGUGCCCCCGCAAGCGGCCCCGGCGGCCCUGCCCCCGCUGCGCCGCUGUCCUCGGGGGGCGCCCGGGGCGCGGGUGCAGGAGCCGCCGUCCUGCUGGCGGGGGCGGAGGCCAGAGGCUCGAGGCCCGGGAGCCGCGCACGUCAAGCAGCCGCCAGCCCGCGCCCCUCCAGCCCCCGUCCCUGCCCGGAUGCACGCGGACCGCCGCGCCUCGGGUCUGCACCCGGCUUCGGAGCGGGGAGGCGGGGCUGCGCGCUCUGCGGGGCGGGGGGGGCGGGGCGGGCUGCGGACGAGCCUGCCGCUCUGCCCCGCGCUCCCAGCUAACCCGCUGUGCUCCUUCGGGCCCACGGAGCUUCCUCCUAACGAGGAACAGAGGCCGUGACGCCGUCGGCCCGUGGCGGGGGGGCCGCUCCUUACGGAGGUCACGGGGGGCACACGGGGUGGCGGGGGCGGCUGUGGGUCGGUGCUGAGGCCGCUGCAUGUCCUCCGUCGGGCUCCGGAAGGAGGGUCCGGGCUGCACCCCCAGCUCCCACGUGUGGCUUCAGGGACGGGGAGCGGGCGGGAGGCGAGCUCCCUGCCACGUUCUUGGGGGCCAGUUCUCGUGCGGACGCGGAAAAACCUCCUCCCGUCCGUCCGCACCCCCGGCGCUGAGCGCGGCGCGGAUGUUCAUAGGGACCGUGGUGGUCAGGGCGGACGGGGACCCGCCCAGGCAGCCGGAGGCCAGCAAGGCGGGCGGCCGGGCGCCCGGGGCCUGGUGCUGCCGGGAUUGGCCGUCGGGCCGCGGGCU